GUUGGAUCUAGGUUACGUGCCGCAGUUCGCAAUUUGCGUUAACUGUGGUCGUGACUUCUAAUUUGCUGGUUUGAGGUUGGGUUCGCCCUUCAACUGCCAGCAGGUUUACCUUGAAUAAAUCAGAGUGCUCAAUACAGGCGCUUGCUUGAAUAGCUCAUCAUGGAAUAAUGAAACAGGACUUCGGUUCUUUUUGUUGGUUCUAGAAUUGAUCUAAUGGUUAAGAGGGACAAACCGGGGGCAUUCGUAUCAUUACGCGAGAGGUGAAAUUCGUGGACCGUAGUGAGACGCCCCAAUAGCGAAAGCAUUUGCCAAGAAUGUCUUCAUUAAUCAAGAACGAAAGUCAGAGGUUCGAAGGCGAUUAGAUACCGCCCUAGUUCUGACCGUAAACGAUGCCAUCUCGCAUUCGGAGGGUUCAUGCCCUACCGAGGAGCUACCCGGAAACGAAAGUCUUUCGGUUCCGGGGGUAGUAUGGUUGCAAAGCUGAAACUUAAAGAAAUUGACGGAAGGGCACCACAAGGCGUGGAGCUUGCGGCUUAAUUUGACUCAACACGGGAAAACUCACCCGGUCCGGACACUAUUAGGACUGACAGAUUGAAAGCUCUUUCUCGAUUUGGUGGUUGGUGGUGCAUGGCCGUUCUUAGUUGGUGGAGUGAUUUGUCUGGUUUAUUCCGAUAACGAGCGAGACUCUAGCCUGCUAAAUAGUCGACGAAUCUUCGGGUUCGUAUAACUUCUUAGAGGGAUAAGCGGUGUUUAGCCGCACGAGAUUGAGCGAUAACAGGUCUGUGAUGCCCUUAGAUGUCCGGGGCUGCACGCGUGCUACACUGGUGGAGUCAGCGGGUUUUUCCUAUGCCGAAAGGUAUCGGUAAACCGUUGAACUUCUUCCAGUGUCCGGGAUAGGGUAUUGUAAUUAUUACCCUUAAACGAGGAAUGCCUAGUAAGUGUGAGUCAUCAGCUCACGUUGAUUACGUCCCUGCCCUUUGUACACACCGCCCGUCGCUAUCCGGGACUGAACUGAUUCGAGAAGAGUGGGGACUGUGGCUGCGAGGUUUUACCACUUCGCAGUUGCGGAAACCAUUUUUAUCGCAUUGGUUUGAACCGGGUAAAAGUCGUAACAAGGUAGCUGUAGGUGAACCUGCAGCUGGAUCAUCG
This is a non-coding RNA of Caenorhabditis japonica, 1149 nucleotides long. NCBI's taxonomy places the organism in Eukaryota, Metazoa, Nematoda, Chromadorea, Rhabditida, Rhabditidae. The record is from Rfam.